UCUCCAAUAGCUCAGUGGUUUAGAGCAUCAGUUUAGACCAUGGAUGGUAGUACGUUCGAAUUCCAUUUGGAGCU
Molecule: non-coding RNA, 74 nt
Organism: Paramuricea clavata
Lineage: Eukaryota; Metazoa; Cnidaria; Anthozoa; Malacalcyonacea; Plexauridae
Source: the annotation of a GenBank genome assembly